This is a long non-coding RNA of Carassius auratus (goldfish), 161 nucleotides long. RefSeq lists it as uncharacterized. NCBI's taxonomy places the organism in Eukaryota, Metazoa, Chordata, Actinopteri, Cypriniformes, Cyprinidae. The transcript is spliced from 2 exons. The record is from RefSeq and is a predicted model, not a curated record.
AAGUUCGAGAAGCGGACCAUGUCUGCUCAGGUGGAGGGUGGCGUGCAUGGACUUCACUCUUAUGAGAAACGUCUUUACUAAUGGAGCAUGCAGAACACGGAUGGGAAACAGCGACCAAACACCUCAGACAAUUCCUAGAACUUACCCCACCCUGCCAGAAC